This 65-nucleotide transfer RNA is filed under the name Dipodomys ordii (Ord's kangaroo rat). It matches the Rfam family "tRNA". Rfam says of the family: Transfer RNA (tRNA) molecules are approximately 80 nucleotides in length. Their secondary structure includes four short double-helical elements and three loops (D, anti-codon, and T loops). Further hydrogen bonds mediate the characteristic L-shaped molecular structure. tRNAs have two regions of fundamental functional importance: the anti-codon, which is responsible for specific mRNA codon recognition, and the 3' end, to which the tRNAs corresponding amino acid is attached (by aminoacyl-tRNA synthetases). tRNAs cope with the degeneracy of the genetic code in two manners: having more than one tRNA (with a specific anti-codon) for a particular amino acid; and 'wobble' base-pairing, i.e. permitting non-standard base-pairing at the 3rd anti-codon position. The record is from Rfam by way of RNAcentral. Lineage: Eukaryota; Metazoa; Chordata; Mammalia; Rodentia; Heteromyidae.
GGUGGCUCAGUGGUAGAGUGCUUGCCUUGCAUGCAUGAGGCCCUGGGUUCCAAUCCUCAGCACCA